CGAACAGGGAAGAGYCCARCMCCGAAUCUCCCGGUCGACCGGCCGGCGAGAAAUGUGGUGUUAGGGAGCGGCCGUUCCCGGUGCGCGCUGGCUCGUUCCAAGUCCUCUUGAAAGGGGCCAYGGCCCGUAGAGGGUGCCAGGCCCGUAGUGGAGACGUGCGCGCUCGGGGGGCUCGUCUCCUCAGAGUCGGGUUGCUUGAGAUCGCAGCCCUAAGCAGGUGGUAAACUCCAUCUAAGGCUAAAUACAACCACGAGACCGAUAGCGAACAAGUACCGUGAGGGAAAGUUGAAAAGAACUUUGAAGAGAGAGUUCAAGAGUACGUGAAACCGCCCAAGGGGAAACGGAAGGUAAUUGAGUAAACUAGGCCGGGGAAACUCAUCACCGCUCGCUUGCACGCUCGAGCUACCCGACCGCUGCGCGGCCGCAGACUAGCUUUGCUAUCUCGUCGGUCUCCCGCAGAGCCCGGUCGGGCGUAUCCUGCUCUGAGCGGGGGAAACGGAACCCCCGCGAGUCUGCUCGAGGGCGGUGUGCACUUUUCCUUCGCCAUAGUGCGUCGCGAUCCGUCGGUCGGCGGCCAGAGGCCCGGGGUUAUUAUCGGCGCGGCGGGACGUGUUAAGCGUUUCUUCGUGCCGAGUCCCCGGCGUGCGCACGGCGGGCCGCUUCACAGCGCCCGCUGCCCGCUUUCCCGGCCGCCGUGUAAGGCCGCCCCGUAGCGGGGCGGCAGUUACGACGGUCAUGAAAUACGUGGAAGACGUCUCGACCGUCACCUACCCCGUCGCAAGGCGGGCGAGGGGGCGGCGGGCCUCUCCGGACCUUGGCUUCGGCCCUUCACAAGCGCGGAACGCGGUGGUUAGCUAGCGCGCGGCGGGCGGCCCGAAGGGGCUUCGUCCUCGCGCGUAUCCCAUCGAUACGUUCGCGCGGUGACAGGAGAGGGGGGCUUGAGUGAAUAACUCGUCUCGGAUCAACCGGCGGCGUAAGUCUCAGUCUACUUUCCGACCCGUCUUGAAACACGGACCAAGGAGUCUAACAUGUGCGCAAGUCAAUGGGAGUUUUCUAAACCCAAAGGCGGAAUGAAAGUGAAGCCGGGGGGCGUGGUUGACCACUGCGCCCGCUCGGCGAGGGAGGAUGGCGCGGGGCGCGCGCUCUUGCAGAGGGGCGCGCGUCACUACUCCGGCCCGCACUCCCGGGGCGUCGUUCGCGGCGCACCUAGAGCGCACACGUUGGUACCCGAAAGAUGGUGAACUAUGCCUGGCCAGGACGAAGCCAGGGGAAACCCUGGUGGAGGUCCGUAGCGAUUCUGACGUGCAAAUCGAUCGUCUGAGCUGGGUAUAGGGGCGAAAGACUAAUCGAACCAUCUAGUAGCUGGUUCCCUCCGAAGUUUCCCUCAGGAUAGCUGGCACUCGGAGACAUGAAAUACUUGAAAAAAGCGAAUCUCAUUCGGUAAAGCGAAUGAUUAGAGGCCUUAGGGUCGAAACGGCCUUAACCUAUUCUCAAACUUUAAAUGGGUGAGAACGCCGGCAUCCUCAAAUGAUACCUCAGGUGAUGCCGGCGAAAGGAUCGUGAGUGUCCAGUGGGCCAUUUUUGGUAAGCAGAACUGGCGCUGUGGGAUGAACCAAACGUAGAGUUAAGGCGCCUAAACCGACGCUCAUGGGAUACCAUGAAGGGCGUUGUUUGCUUAAGACAGCUGGGCGGUGGCCAUGGAAGUCGGAAUCCGCUAAGGAGUGUGUAACAACUCACCAGCCGAAGCAACUAGCCCUGAAAAUGGAUGGCGCUAAAGCGUCGUGCCUAUACUUUACCGCCGGCGGCAAGGCUAGGGUGCCCGCACGUCCCGCGUCGGGGGCGCCGCGCGAAGCCUAACCAGCGCGCGCGGCGCAGGAGCCCUGUUAAGCCCCGGUGAGUAGGAGGGUCGCGGCGGUGAGCGCAGAAGGGUUGGGCGCGAGCCUGCCUGGAGCCGCCGUCGGCGCAGAUCUUGGUAGUAGUAGCAAAUACUCUAGCGAGACCCUGGAGGGCUGAUGUGGAGAAGGGUUUCGUGUGAACAGCCGUUGCACACGAGUCAGUCGAUCCUAAGCCCUAGGGGAAACCCGAUGCAGAUGCCGGCCUUUGUUCWGAGAUUCUUCGGGCCGCGCGUCGGGCGAAAGGGAAUCCGGUCCCCAUUCCGGAACCCGGUCGCGGAACCGUUUCACGUCGGGCCCGCGCCGAAAGGCGCAAGCUCGUCGGGGUAACCCAACAUGACCCGGAGAAGCCGUCGGGAGGUCUGGGAAGAGUUUUCUUUUCUGUUUGAGCGUUCGGGUUCCCUGGAAUUGCCUAGCGCAGAGAGAGGGAAUGGAGCGCGUAGAGC
RNAcentral lists this ribosomal RNA (2338 nucleotides) under Gryllus assimilis. RNAcentral describes it as "eukaryotic LSU rRNA". It matches the Rfam family "Eukaryotic large subunit ribosomal RNA", at positions 94 to 1765 of the family's 3401-position model. The record is from RNAcentral. Lineage: Eukaryota; Metazoa; Arthropoda; Insecta; Orthoptera; Gryllidae.